Molecule: transfer RNA, 87 nt
Filed under: Bacillus sp. T33-2
Lineage: Bacteria; Bacillati; Bacillota; Bacilli; Caryophanales; Bacillaceae
Description: tRNA-Leu
Rfam family: tRNA
About the family: Transfer RNA (tRNA) molecules are approximately 80 nucleotides in length. Their secondary structure includes four short double-helical elements and three loops (D, anti-codon, and T loops).
Source: RNAcentral
GCGGGUGUGGCGGAAUCGGCAGACGCGCUAGAUUCAGGUUCUAGUGGUGGCAACACCGUGGGGGUUCAAGUCCCUUCAUCCGCAUCA